This 1242-nucleotide long non-coding RNA is filed under the name Anas platyrhynchos platyrhynchos (common mallard). RNAcentral describes it as "lncRNA (ENSAPLG00000023619.1)". The record is from RNAcentral. Lineage: Eukaryota; Metazoa; Chordata; Aves; Anseriformes; Anatidae.
GGAAAGCUCACCUUAUAAAUAAUCCACAAUGGUGAGAUUAGAUGUAUAAUGAUAGAGGUAGGUAUCAGAAGAAAUAAGACAGGUUUGGUGCUUAGACAAUAGCUGCAGCUAUGAACCCCUACUUGUUUUAUUGGUUGUCCACUAUCCUCUGCAGAUGAUAUUAACUGUGUCAUUGCUGAGAAAACAUUCUCUUGGUCUCACUACAAGUGUCUUCCUCUGGACUAACGUAUCAGAGUCUCAAGGAACUUUGACGUCGAACACUAGGACAGUCUGAAUUGUAAUGUCACAAGGGGCAAAGCAUUUGUGUUAGCUUUCACAUGGUCCACAUCAGAAGAUGCCAUGAUAGCAAAGAACACAAAUUCCUGAAGCUGUAAAUGCUUAAGACAUCUCAGCUGUGGAACCAUGGCCAUCAUCACUCUCAAGUGUCUGACAAGCCUCCUUCUGAGGACCUUUUGGAAAAGCAGCAUCAAAAAUGUGUUGCUGACACCACCUGAUGAGGGCAGUUACUGAUUAUAGUCUGAUACCAACAAGUAGAAACUUACAGUUGGCAUCCAUUGCCCUCAAUGCUAACCAGGAACAGAAGCCACAAAACUGGGAAACUGGCAGAGAUAAAUUUACAACCUUGACAAAGAGAGAAAUAUGUAGAUGAAGCUAAUAGUUUCCAGCUCUCUCAGUCCAGAGGCAGUCAUCCUGAUGUUGAAGUAACAUCUUUCUACUUUUCUCAGGAUGAAAUAGCUAAAAUUCAUUUUGUCAGCUGAGAGAGGGGAAAAUAUGACACACAGACUGCCUGGUCAUAGGACUGUUGUGCUGUGGAGCCCCUCACCUGCCCCUCCCAAUAAAUGUGAGCAAAUUACCUAAUUUAUUUGCCAGUUCCCUGGUUGCAGGCUGCAAGUCAGACCUGCCUUCUCCUGUAAUCAGAACAGUAAACUGCUUUCAGCUCUGUCAGACACCAAAACCUUCCCCACGACCCUCAGCUGUAGGACUUUACAAAUUGCACCCAAGCAGCAAGUGCUUUGAGCUUGUACCCAUUUCUUCUAGGAACCUAGAGGAGCCUAGAACUAGUGAGAACCCAAGUGUCAUGCCUGCUCUACUGUGUUUUUGCUGUGCAAGAUGCCUCUGUUCUGUUCUAAAGGGAAAGCUUCUGACUGAUAUGUUGAGUCAAGACAACUUGAAGCUCUUCCAGCUGUCACAGCACAGAAAAAAUACAGAAUGAAAAAAUAAAUAAAGUGGGGCUGUUCUACA